Molecule: ribosomal RNA, 796 nt
Filed under: uncultured bacterium
Lineage: Bacteria
Description: bacterial SSU rRNA
Rfam family: Bacterial small subunit ribosomal RNA
Source: RNAcentral
AGAGUUUGAUCCUGGCUCAGGAUGAACGCUAGCGAUAGGCCUAACACAUGCAAGUCGAGGGGCAGCAUAGAGUAGCAAUACUUUGAUGGCGACCGGCGCACGGGUGAGUAACACGUAUGCAACCUACCUACAUCAGGGGAAUAACCCGGAGAAAUUCGGACCAAUACCGCAUAAUACAGGGAUGCCGCAUGGCAAUAUUUGUUAAAGAUUUAUCGGAUGUAGAUGGGCAUGCGUUCCAUUAGCUAGUUGGUAAGGUAACGGCUUACCAAGGCAACGAUGGAUAGGGGAACUGAGAGGUUUGUCCCCCACACUGGAACUGAGACACGGACCAGACUCCUACGGGAGGCAGCAGUGAGGAAUAUUGGUCAAUGGACGAGAGUCUGAACCAGCCAAAUCGCGUGAAGGAAGACUGCCCUACGGGUUGUAAACUUCUUUUGUACAGGAAUAAAAGACAUUACGUGUAAUGUAUUGCAUGUACUGUACGAAUAAGCAUCGGCUAACUCCGUGCCAGCAGCCGCGGUAAUACGGAGGAUGCGAGCGUUAUCCGGAUUUAUUGGGUUUAAAGGGUGCGCAGGCGGGAUUUUAAGUCAGCGGUGAAAUUUUCAGGCUCAACCUGAACACUGCCGUUGAAACUGGGAUUCUUGAGUAUGGAUGAAGUAGGCGGAAUUCGUUGUGUAGCGGUGACAUGCUUAGAUAUAACGAGGAACUCCGAUUGCGUAGGCAGCUUACUAAGCCAUAACUGACGCUCAAGCACGAAAGCGUGGGGAUCAAACAGGAUUAGAUACCCUGGUAGUCG